AUACGUAGGUGGCAAGCGUUGUCCGGAAUUAUUGGGCGUAAAGCGCAUGUAGGCGGUAAUUUAAGUCUGUCGUGAAACUGCGGGGCUCAGCCCCGUAUGGCGAUGGCAACUGGGUUACUUGAGUGCAGGAGAGGAAAGGGGAACUCCCAGUGUAGCGGUGAAAUGCGUAGAUAUUGGGAAGAACACCGGUGGCGAAGGCGCCUUUCUGGACUGUGUCUGACGCUGAGAUGCGAAAGCCAGGGUAGCGAACGGGAUUAGAUACCCCGGUAGUCCUGGCCGUAAACGAUGGGUACUAGGUGUGGGAGGUAUCGACCCCUUCCGUGCCGGAGUUAACGCAAUAAGUACCCCGCCUGGGGAGUACGGCCGCAAGGCUUAAACUCAAAGGAAUUGACGGGG
This 396-nucleotide ribosomal RNA is filed under the name uncultured bacterium. Its description in RNAcentral is "partial 16S ribosomal RNA". It matches the Rfam family "Bacterial small subunit ribosomal RNA", at positions 523 to 918 of the family's 1533-position model. The record is from RNAcentral.